This 332-nucleotide ribosomal RNA is filed under the name uncultured eukaryote. RNAcentral describes it as "partial 18S ribosomal RNA". It matches the Rfam family "Eukaryotic small subunit ribosomal RNA", at positions 1470 to 1796 of the family's 1831-position model. The record is from RNAcentral.
CCCUUAGAUGUUCUGGGCUGCACACGUGCUACACUGGCAGGUUCAGCGAGCUUCAUGCCCUGAUCUGAAAGGAAUGGGAAAUCUUUUCAAAACCUGCCGUGCUUGGGAUAGAUGUUUGCAGUUAUUCAUCUUCAACGAGGAUUGCCUUGUAAGCGCACGUCAUCAGCGUGCAUUGAAUACGACCCUGUAUUCUGUACACACCGCCCGUCGCUCCUACCGAUUGAAGUUUUCGGUGAGUUGACAGGAGGAUUUUUUUGAAACUGGUUCGCCAGUGGAUUUUAGAUCCAAAUGCCAACGAAUCGAUGGCUUUAGAGGAAGGAGAAGUCGUAACA